Molecule: non-coding RNA, 49 nt
Organism: Trichobilharzia regenti
Lineage: Eukaryota; Metazoa; Platyhelminthes; Trematoda; Strigeidida; Schistosomatidae
Source: Rfam
GUCCAGAUGAAGAGUCCCAAACAGGACGAAAUGCGAAUCCUCGCUGGAU